UUGGAUCACCUCCUUAACAGGGAGACACACAAUGAUUUUGAUGCUGAGUACUUUUAUUCUUAGGUCAAAAUCCUGUCACUUUAGGUCGAUCGGUACCUCAGCUUUUGAGUUUAUCGAAUUUGUAGCAAUGCAAAUGAGGAUGAAGUCAAUUCUUAGUUCCUAAACUUUGUCUAGGUCACACCCCAAAAGGGAUGAGACUCCUGGGCCAUUAGCUCAGGUGGUUAGAGCGCACCCCUGAUAAGGGUGAGGUCCCUGGUUCAAGUCCAGGAUGGCCCAUUCGGUGUUGGGGGUUUAGCUCAGUUGGUAGAGCGCCUGCUUUGCAAGCAGGAUGUCAGGAGUUCGAGUCUCCUAACCUCCACUGACCGAACGUGAUCCCCAGCUUCUUGACAUUAGGAGUUGAGUGAUUUUGGUGUGUGAUUUGGAUGUGUCCGCUGGCGACCCCAGCUUCCUGUCAUUCUGAGAUUCAAUUAUCAAUUGAAUUUUAGUUGAUAAGAUGCUGGGCUCGGAUCAAGCGUCAAAGUUAUCGCAAGAUGACUUUGAUGGUUUGAUUUGAAGUCUAGCAGAACCUUGACAACUGCAUAGGUGGGUCUGGAAAGAAGAAAGCAUCUCAUGGAUGAUGCAUUCUUUCAGCAUUGUUGCCCGAAAAGGUGAUGGUAAUGAGAGGAUGUGAAUUCUAGAGCAAGAGCCGAGACUCCAUGAUGUUCUUCUACUUGUGUCGAGCAAGCGGGAGUUUGAUUGUUGAUUCUGAAAGGAAUCAAUGAGAAUCUGUUUUCAACAACAGCAAGCAUGAUGGAGAUUAAUUUGGUCAAGCUACAAAGGGCUCACGGUGGAUACCUUGGCACACAGAGGCGAUGAAGGA
RNAcentral lists this transfer RNA (859 nucleotides) under uncultured Synechococcus sp. RNAcentral describes it as "partial contains 16S ribosomal RNA, 16S-23S ribosomal RNA intergenic spacer, and 23S ribosomal RNA". The stretch from base 286 to 358 matches the Rfam family "tRNA". Lineage: Bacteria; Bacillati; Cyanobacteriota; Cyanophyceae; Synechococcales; Synechococcaceae. The record is from RNAcentral.